Molecule: long non-coding RNA, 310 nt
Filed under: Linum usitatissimum (flax)
Lineage: Eukaryota; Viridiplantae; Streptophyta; Magnoliopsida; Malpighiales; Linaceae
Description: long non-coding RNA (LUSI_LNC001102)
Source: RNAcentral
UGUGUUAGGAAGAGCAAAGUUUUUAGAAAAAAUCAGAAGGUUGAAUUGAAUCGCAAAGAAUUACAAAAAGAUCCUAAAGGAAGCAAGUCAUCCGUAUACCUUUGAUCUAGAAACAGCAACUCAGCUUUCUGAUCCAAAUUCAGCUCUUCGAAUUUAAUCCCUAGAAAUGGCAAAGUCUCCACCUCCACAAACCCUGUCAACACAAAACUGCCUGCCUACAAAGUUAGCCAACAACUUCAUAGACCAAUUCAAGCUACAAUCCAAUUCACAGUUAGUAAGAGGAAUCAAUCAUCAGCACCUGAUUCCACAG